CCAACAGGGAUUGCCUCAGUAACGGCGAGUGAAGCGGCAACAGCUCAAAUUUGAAAUCUGGCCCCAGGCCCGAGUUGUAAUUUGCAGAGGAUGCUUCUGGCGCGGUGCCUUCCAAGUCCCCUGGAACGGGGCGCCAUAGAGGGUGAGAGCCCCGUCUGGUUGGCCGCCAAGCCUGUGUGAAGCUCCUUCGACGAGUCGAGUAGUUUGGGAAUGCUGCUCUAAAUGGGAGGUAGACCCCUUCUAAAGCUAAAUAUUGGCCAGAGACCGAUAGCGCACAAGUAGAGUGAUCGAAAGAUGAAAAGCACUUUGAAAAGAGGGUUAAAUAGUACGUGAAAUUGUUGAAAGGGAAGCGCUUGUGACCAGACGUGCGUCGGGGUGUUCAGCGGGCGUUCUCGCCCGUGCACUCGCCCCGGUGCAGGCCAGCGUCGGUUUGGGCGGGGGGACAAAGGCGCCGGGAACGUAGCUCCUCCGGGAGUGUUAUAGCCCGGCGUGUCAUGCUCCCGCCUGGACCGAGGUUCGCGCUCCGCAAGGACGCUGGCGUAAUGGUCCCCAGCGGCCCGUCUUGAAACACGGACCAAGGAGUCGAGGUUUUGCGCGAGUGUUUGGGUGUCAAACCCGCACGCGUAAUGAAAGUGAACGCAGGUGGGAGCUUCGGCGCACCACCGACCGAUCCUGAUGUUCUCGGAUGGAUUUGAGUAAGAGCGUAGGGCCUCGGACCCGAAAGAUGGUGAACUAUACGUGAAUAGGGUGAAGCCAGAGGAAACUCUGGUGGAGGCUCGCAGCGGUUCUGACGUGCAAAUCGAUCGUCAAAUUUGCGUAUGGGGGCGAAAGACUAAUCGAACCAU
Molecule: ribosomal RNA, 845 nt
Filed under: Thozetella japonica
Lineage: Eukaryota; Fungi; Ascomycota; Sordariomycetes; Chaetosphaeriales; Chaetosphaeriaceae
Description: Thozetella sp. YD-2021f partial large subunit ribosomal RNA
Rfam family: Eukaryotic large subunit ribosomal RNA
Source: RNAcentral